UACGGGGGGGGGCAAGCGUUGUUCGGAAUUACUGGGCGUAAAGGGCUCUAGGUGGCCAACUAAGUCAGACGUGAAAUCCCUCGGCUUAACCGGGGAACUGCGUCUGAUACUGGAUGGCUUGAGUUUGGGAGAGGGACGCGGAAUUCCAGGUGUAGCGGUGAAAUGCGUAGAUAUCUGGAGGAACACCGGUGGCGAAGGCGCGUCCUGGACCAACACUGACACUGAUGAGCGAAAGUGUGGGGAGCGAAC
RNAcentral lists this ribosomal RNA (249 nucleotides) under uncultured bacterium. RNAcentral describes it as "partial 16S ribosomal RNA". It matches the Rfam family "Bacterial small subunit ribosomal RNA", at positions 524 to 773 of the family's 1533-position model. The record is from RNAcentral.